GAUGAAGAACGUAGCGAAAUGCGAUAGGUAAUGUGAAUUGCAGAAUUCAGUGAAUCAUCGAAUCUUUGAACGCACAUUGCGCCCCCUGGUAUUCCGGGGGGCAUGCCUGUCCGAGCGUCAUUACAACCCUCAAGCUCAGCUUGGUGUUGGGCCCCGCCGCCCCGGCGGGCCCUAAAGUCAGUGGCGGUGCCGUCCGGCUCCGAGCGUAGUAAUUCUUCUCGCUCUGGAGGUCCGGUCGUGUGCUCGCCAGCAACCCCCAAUUUUUUUCAGGUUGACCUCGGAUCAGGUAGGGAUACCCGCUGAACUUAAGCAUAUCAAUAAGCGGAGGA
This 329-nucleotide unclassified non-coding RNA is filed under the name soil metagenome. Its description in RNAcentral is "partial contains 5.8S ribosomal RNA, internal transcribed spacer 2, and large subunit ribosomal RNA". The stretch from base 1 to 120 matches the Rfam family "5.8S ribosomal RNA", at positions 35 to 154 of the family's 154-position model. The record is from RNAcentral.